GACGAACGCUGGCGGCGUGCUUAACACAUGCAAGUCGAACGGUUAAGCGCCUUCCUGUUUGGUGGGUGUGGAUGAGUGGCGAACGGGUGAGUAACACGUGAGUAACUUGCCCCCUGCUUCUGGAUAACCGCAUGAAAGUGUUGCUAAUACGGGGUAUUCUGGGUCUGUCGCAUGAUGGGUCUGGGAAAGAGAUUGUUUCGGUGGGGGAUGGGCUCGCGUCCUUUCAGGCUGUGUGUGGGGUUAUGGCCUACCAAGGCGGUGACGGGUAGCCGGCCUGAGAGGGUGGACGGUCACACUGGGACUGAGACACGGCCCAGACUCCUACGGGAGGCAGCAGUGGGGAAUAUUGCACAAUGGGCGCAAGCCUGAUGCAGCGACGCCGCGUGAGGGAUGGAGGCCUUCGGGUUGUGAACCUCUUUCGCCAGUGAAGCAGGCCUGCCUCGUUUGUGGGUGGGUUGACGGUAGCUGGAUAAGAAGCGCCGGCUAACUACGUG
This 494-nucleotide ribosomal RNA is filed under the name uncultured bacterium. Its description in RNAcentral is "partial 16S ribosomal RNA". It matches the Rfam family "Bacterial small subunit ribosomal RNA", at positions 28 to 507 of the family's 1533-position model. The record is from RNAcentral.